AGAGCACAAUCUGAGGACUAUGGAAACGUUACGAGAGAUGGAGAGAACUGAAGCUCAAACUAAGAUUUCUGCUCUGGAGCAAAAGCUUCUGAAAAACAGUGGAAAUGUUUGGACAGAUGCUUCAGACCAUGACUCCAUACACAUGCAGCAGGAUGAAAGCAGAAAAAGAUCAGAUGAGACCCAGCAGAUGAAUCCUCUGAUGCUUCAUAAAUAUCAACCUCAAAGGCAG
Long non-coding RNA from Cyprinodon variegatus (sheepshead minnow), 229 nucleotides. RefSeq lists it as uncharacterized. The transcript is spliced from 3 exons. The record is from RefSeq and is a predicted model, not a curated record. NCBI's taxonomy places the organism in Eukaryota, Metazoa, Chordata, Actinopteri, Cyprinodontiformes, Cyprinodontidae.